RNAcentral lists this long non-coding RNA (214 nucleotides) under Mytilus galloprovincialis (Mediterranean mussel). The record is from RNAcentral. Lineage: Eukaryota; Metazoa; Mollusca; Bivalvia; Mytilida; Mytilidae.
UGCUGGGAUGUAAAAUAGUUAUCCUAUUCGGACUUAUUGAAACAGUGUAAGAUCACACUCUGUCCUACGGAUCUUAGAUGUAAUGAAACAGAAUCCACAGCAAAUGAAUAAGCUGACGUCACAACAAUGGUUAAACGGUGUUGCCUGUCAAGUUUUAUGGCUGUCGGAGUAUCUGAUUUACAAGUUUUAUGGAUUUUGAGUCUCGUGAUUUGCA